Long non-coding RNA from Homo sapiens (human), 876 nucleotides. Ensembl annotates it as CEACAM16, CEACAM19 and PVR antisense RNA 1. Its record names the gene CEACAM16-AS1. The record is from Ensembl. NCBI's taxonomy places the organism in Eukaryota, Metazoa, Chordata, Mammalia, Primates, Hominidae.
GGUGGAGGCAUCUGCAGCUGGACAGAGAAGUGGUGCUUUGUUUCUCUGUGCCUCAGUUUCCCUCUUGGUAAAAUAGGCAUGGUUCCUCCUAUGGAUGUAAGAAGGACCUAGGAACCUUUGCAAGGGCAGAGGAGUCCGCCCCUCUGGUCUGACUGGGAGACAAGGUGUUCCCCAAUCUGAUGGUGGGGACAAGGUGGCCCAACACAGUGGGAAAAAUAAGGAAACUAAGGAGCUCUCACCAAAUCCCAUGAGGGAGACAGGACUGUCCAAAUCCAAUGAAGAAGAUAAGAAGCUCCAGUCCUGUGCAGCAAGAACGAGUGUCCAGUCUAUAUUUCCAGUCUGCCAGGGGAGAGCUGUGCCCUGAAACCCUCUGCCCUGCUGAAGAAUGGAGAGGACUCCCCCACCAGCACCUCCACCUAGGACACAUGGGAACUGUGGGACUUGGAGCAAAGUUUUCAAGUCUCUGUGCCUUAGUUUCCUCACCUGUAAGUUGGGGGAAUGAUAGUAACUGCUCUUAAGAGCUGCUGUAGGAAUUGAGAUCUUGCAUGAAAAAGGAUAAAACCAAUUGAUAUGGUUUAGUUCUUAGUCCCCACCCAAAUCUCAUGUCCAGUUAUGAUCCUCAGUGUAGGAGGAGGGACCUCGUGGGAGGUGAUUGGAUCGUGGGGGCAGUUUCUAAUGUUUUAGCACCAUCCUCCUAGUGCUGCUUGUUUAAAAGUGUGUAGCACCCCACCUUCCUCUCCUGCCGGCCAUGUGAAGACGUGCUUGCUUCCCUUUCACCAUCUGCCAUGAUUGUAAGUUUCCUGAGGUCUCCCCAGAAGCAGAAGCCUGUAUAGCCCACAGAAUCAUGAGCUGAUUAAACCUCUUUUCUUUAUAAAU